Molecule: ribosomal RNA, 497 nt
Filed under: uncultured bacterium
Lineage: Bacteria
Description: partial 16S ribosomal RNA
Rfam family: Bacterial small subunit ribosomal RNA
Source: RNAcentral
GCUGCCCGCUUUCUUCUUUCCUAAUACAUGCAAGUCGAGCGAACGGACGAGAAGCUUGCUUCUCUGAUGUUAGCGGCGGACGGGUGAGUAACACGUGGAUAACCUACCUAUAAGACUGGGAUAACUUCGGGAAACCGGAGCUAAUACCGGAUAAUAUUUUGAACCGCAUGGUUCAAAAGUGAAAGACGGUCUUGCUGUCACUUAUAGAUGGAUCCGCGCUGCAUUAGCUAGUUGGUAAGGUAACGGCUUACCAAGGCAACGAUGCAUAGCCGACCUGAGAGGGUGAUCGGCCACACUGGAACUGAGACACGGUCCAGACUCCUACGGGAGGCAGCAGUAGGGAAUCUUCCGCAAUGGGCGAAAGCCUGACGGAGCAACGCCGCGUGAGUGAUGAAGGUCUUCGGAUCGUAAAACUCUGUUAUUAGGGAAGAACAUAUGUGUAAGUAACUGUGCACAUCUUGACGGUACCUAAUCAGAAAGCCACGGCUAACUACGUG